Molecule: long non-coding RNA, 4021 nt
Filed under: Lotus japonicus
Lineage: Eukaryota; Viridiplantae; Streptophyta; Magnoliopsida; Fabales; Fabaceae
Description: long non-coding RNA (LJAP_LNC001869)
Source: RNAcentral
UUAUGAGACAUGCAUUAACAUAACAUAUGAAAUGAAGUUAGAAUACUUACAUAGUAGGCAGUGACAGUGCCUGCAGAGUUUCCAGGAACAAGCUUGAGCUGCAUGUCAAUCUGGCCAAAGAGAUACUCAUUUCUAGACUGGAAGCCGGAGCCAGAGGCUUUGUCAAGAUUGAGAGUGAGAAGGUCGCCAUUGUUGGCAAUCUUGGCACGACCAUCUCCCCAAGUAAUGUCAAAAUCCUGGUAGAAGUUGCCAGCAGAUGCCACCAUGAAAGAGGACAAUACCAAUAGAGAAAGCACUGAAAUAUGAGGAAAUGCCAUGGUUGAUUUGUAGCAGACAAUAUAUGAAGUGUGGAAGUUGUAACUUUCUAGUGCUGUAUGAAAUAUGAAAGUGAAUGGAGCUUGAAAGGAUGAUUGUGGCAGAGAAGUACAGAGGAUUGGUAUUUAUAGUGCUGCUGCUCAGUGCUGAUGCUUGUGUUUGUGAAAACGAGUGAAAGGAAGGAGCAGAGGAAAGUGCCUUGCGGUGGACAACUGUAGUUUUCAAAAGAUAUGAAACAAAAAAUAAAAUAUUGAACAAUAAGCUGUCAUGUAUGUAUUCACGUUCAUUUCUUGAAACCAAUCCAAAAUCUUUUUAUUUAUGUACUGAAUCAAUAAAGGAUUGAUUGCAAUAUCUUAGGACGCGCAAUUGGGUCGGUUCCAAAGUGGGGUCUCAAAGUUUUUGUUGGAGAUAGCCUGUGUUGGGUAGGUACACCACACCGAUUAAUUGGUCUGUCAGAACUUAACAGUUGCUUUUGGUGAAUUUGCUGCUUCCUUUCCUUUGAAGUAAAAGUGUGAAUGAAAUAGUUUUAUAUAGAAUAGAUAAUGGUGGGUUUAGAAUUGAACAAUUUAUAAGUGAGAGGACUCACUUAUCUAUUGCUUUAGUGUUUUGAGGUGAAUAUGUAUGGUUGUUCCGAUGGAAUAACAAUUUUUUCACAUAUUAAUUUCACGUCCACUUUAUCAAGGUAUGAAGAAAAGAGAGGUAAAUGAGUAAUAUGAUAGGUGUUGAGACUUGAAAUGCAUAAAGGGAAAAGAAAGAAAAAAGAAUGAAAAUGAUAUGUAAAAGAAAGAGAGGUGUGAGUAUAACAAUUUCUUCACAUAUUAAUUUCACCUUAACCUCACAAAGUUAUGAAGAAAAAAGAGGUAAAUGAAUGAUAUGAUAGGUGAUGUAACAUACUAACAAAAAAAUGCAAAAUAAAAAAGAAAGAAAAAAGAAUAAAAAUUAUAAGUAAGAGAAAGAAAUGUGUGGGUAUAUCAUAAUUCAGUAAUUCAGUGAGAGUAUGAAUGAAUAAUAGCUCUUUGAUUAUAUGGUAUUUUUACUUUUUUAGUAUAGUUCAGUCAAUAAAUUAGGGUUUUUAACACUUUUAUGCACUUUCUUUUGGUCAUCAUGUUCACUAGCUUAUCAGGGUUUCUGUUUGUAAUUUCUACUUGAUACUACCUUUGACGUUGAGUAAUUACUGAGAACGAUUACAUCUUGAUCGGCAUAAAAAAAGUCAAAAAUUUCAACUUGACCUUUUAAAUGAAUUUGAAUAUUAACUUUUAAAUUAUCGUCUUGGAAUUCAUUGAACUGGCACAUUCUAUUACUUAAUUUAACUUCAUUUCUCAUCUUGAUAUAUAAUGCAUUUGCAUUGCAUUUCAAACUAGGUCUGAAGGGAUCUAAUCUUAGUCUGUCCAAAUAAUCACUUGGAUCACCACCAUCCUGGUCGACCCAAAUGACUAAAAAAUCGGUGACAGUAAAGUUGGCUGAUCAGAAUGAGCAAAGCAUAAGACUUCUAUUUGUGUAACUAACUAAGCUCAAUAUAAAUUAGACUUAUGUUCAAUCCAACGUAAGCAAGGCUGAACCAUUGAUACCACCCAUAUGACAUGCUAGUAAACGGCAAAUACCUACACAAUUAAUCAGGCAACCAUUACGUAUAAGUUUGAUAGGAUUGUAAGGCAAAGACACAAUUUGCUCUCUAUGUGCUAUUUUAGACUGAGAUUUUCUCUAUAAUUUUGAGUUAACUUUAGCGUAAGAGUCACUUUUGCAAUUACAUCCCCUAUCAUGGAUAUUUACUGCAUUGUCAUCCGUCAUGAUCACUGUCAAGUUGACCACCGUGCAUUUAGCUUAACAGCACCACACUCAUUCACAGGAUUUACAUGCUGAAAUUUCUAGAAGAUCAUAUGGGAAUAUCAAUAAAAAUUACACAAAUAAAUUUAGUGUUUUUGGUUGAGUGUUAUUUUAGUUGAGUGCUUAGGAUUCUCAAUUUUGGUCGAGUGGCUUUCAAAUAAGUUUUUUUAAUUAACUUUAAAUAUAAUUCACUUCAUAAACGAAAAAAUGUGCUUUUAUCAAUUAACAUAUUGAAUUAAUAGGUGCAACAUGUUUCAAGUUAUUUGAUUAAGGGUUAAAUAAAGUUUUGCUUCAUCUAUAACACACUAAGUUUGAAAAUGUCUCUCUUCAGAGCAAAGUUUAAACUCAGACCCCACUAUUUGAGAAACUACAUGAUUUUGAUCCCUAUUGGAGGUUGUUGUUCGGUGACCUGUGUCACUAACUCACUAAUUAACAUAACCCGACGAUAUUAGUGAAGCCAUGAGACGAUUACACGUACGAUCAGUGCAGCCAUGUGGCAAAGAACAUUGGACCACCACCUCUGGCGACUGGCAUGGACUAAAAUUAGAUAGUUUCUCAAAUAGUAGGGAUUGAUUUCAAACUUUACUUCCGAGGGGACCAUAUUCAAACUUAUCUUAUUAAUAAUGAUCAACAUCUUAUUUAAGCCUUUAAUUAAUUUUCACCUAAUAUUAUACCACCAUGUAUCCGCCUUGACUUUAGUCUUUUUAUCCGUGGGAGAUGUCAUGUGUCAACAAAAAGCACUGCCAUGAAAAAUGAUUCCGGAUGUUUAUUUCUUGUAAGUUGUAAUACAAAUAACAAAGAAUAAAAGAAUCAACAUAAAGAACCUUACAAGCCAAAUUCAAAUGGCCUAAAAAGAAGUUAAUCUUGCAAGAACUUAAGAUGUUAUGCACUCUGUGGGAAGUCCCUGAGGAAACCUCUUGGUGUCACUGCAAUAAUUGUAAAUCAUGUAAUUCUUCUGCACCCAACUCAAUCUGUCAUGACUUGUUGAAUCCAACUCUUGUGACAGCCACGCAUUGGAUGAGGCAGAGUUCGAAUUGCAAGAUGAUGUUCCUGACCCAGUUGAACGAACACAAGCAUUAUUGGCAUUGAAAUUUCUAUAUGAUGCAGUGAAAGGAGCUUGGCUCCAAUCUGUCUUCACAACACCACCUCUUGUUGCCCAGUCAUCAGCAUUCCAGAGACUCGAGUAUAUCCUCAUUGGCUGAUCUUUUGGAAAUGGAACUCCCUUUGAUUCCAUGUUCUUAAAUUCUCUGAUUGGGGUUCCAUCUACUGAAAAUCUGAAACAGAGGAAAAACAGGGGAUUGAUCAGUUAAAUGGAACUUUCAAAAAGAAAACAUGUGCUAAGUGGGGAAGUGUAGCGAAUCAUUGAUUCAUAUAUAGAAUUAGUGUGCUUACACAAUGCGUUGAGGAUUCCAGAGAAUGGAAUAAGUGUGGAAAUCUGCAGUUGGGUCGAACCAGAGAUAGAAUUGUUGCUCCCUGUUGCCUUUGCCCUGGCUGAACACAUUGGUGUGAAGAAUGUAAGGGUCUCCACUCAGAUUCCCCAAGAAUUCAAAGUCAAUUUCAUCCCAAUUUGAACCUUUUGAAGACAACUGUAUUAUGUAAAAACCAAAUUAGAAACUUGAAAGUUUAAUAGCAGUGACAAUUUGGCAUUGAGUACUGAUGAUACAUGCAUAAACAGAACAUAUGAAAUUAACUUGGAGUACUUACAUAGUAGGCAGUGACAGUGCCUGCAGAGUUUCCAGGUACAAGCUUGAGCUGCAUGUCAAUCUUGCCAAACAGAUAUUCAUUUCUGGACUGGAAGCCAGACCCAGAGGCUUUGUCAAGAUUGAGAGUGAGAAGGUCACCAUUGUUGAGUAUCUUGGCACGACCAUCUCCCCAAGUAAUG